UGCGUAGGCGGGCCUGUAAGUGUCCUGUGAAACUCCCCCGGCUCAACCGGGGAACUGCGGGGCAUACUGCGGGCCUUGAGGAAGGUAGGCGCCGAGGGAACAGUAGGUGGAGCGGUGAAAUGCGUAGAUAUCUACUGGAACGCCGAUGGUGAAGACGCUCGGCUGGGCCUUUCCUGACGCUGAGGCACGAAAGCGUGGGGAAGCAAACA
Molecule: ribosomal RNA, 209 nt
Filed under: uncultured bacterium
Lineage: Bacteria
Description: partial 16S ribosomal RNA
Rfam family: Bacterial small subunit ribosomal RNA
Source: RNAcentral